RNAcentral lists this ribosomal RNA (2907 nucleotides) under Klebsiella grimontii. RNAcentral describes it as "23S ribosomal RNA". It matches the Rfam family "Bacterial large subunit ribosomal RNA". Lineage: Bacteria; Pseudomonadati; Pseudomonadota; Gammaproteobacteria; Enterobacterales; Enterobacteriaceae. The record is from RNAcentral.
GGUUAAGCGACUAAGCGUACACGGUGGAUGCCCUGGCAGUCAGAGGCGAUGAAGGACGUGCUAAUCUGCGAAAAGCGUCGGUAAGGUGAUAUGAACCGUUAUAGCCGGCGAUGUCCGAAUGGGGAAACCCAGUGCAAUUCGUUGCACUAUCGUUUGAUGAAUACAUAGUCAAACGAGGCGAACCGGGGGAACUGAAACAUCUAAGUACCCCGAGGAAAAGAAAUCAACCGAGAUUCCCCCAGUAGCGGCGAGCGAACGGGGAGCAGCCCGGAGUCUGAAUCAGCUUGUGUGUUAGUGGAAGCGUCUGGAAAGUCGCAGGGUACAGGGUGAUACUCCCGUACACUAAAGCACACAGGUUGUGAACUCGAAGAGUAGGGCGGGACACGUGGUAUCCUGUCUGAAUAUGGGGGGACCAUCCUCCAAGGCUAAAUACUCCUGACUGACCGAUAGUGAACCAGUACCGUGAGGGAAAGGCGAAAAGAACCCCGGCGAGGGGAGUGAAAAAGAACCUGAAACCGUGUACGUACAAGCAGUAGGAGCCUCUUUAUGGGGUGACUGCGUACCUUUUGUAUAAUGGGUCAGCGACUUAUAUUCUGUAGCAAGGUUAACCGUAUAGGGGAGCCGCAGGGAAACCGAGUCUUAACUGGGCGUUAAGUUGCAGGGUAUAGACCCGAAACCCGGUGAUCUAGCCAUGGGCAGGUUGAAGGUUGGGUAACACUAACUGGAGGACCGAACCGACUAAUGUUGAAAAAUUAGCGGAUGACUUGUGGCUGGGGGUGAAAGGCCAAUCAAACCGGGAGAUAGCUGGUUCUCCCCGAAAGCUAUUUAGGUAGCGCCUCGUGAACUCAUCUUCGGGGGUAGAGCACUGUUUCGGCUAGGGGGUCAUCCCGACUUACCAACCCGAUGCAAACUACGAAUACCGAAGAAUGUUAUCACGGGAGACACACGGCGGGUGCUAACGUCCGUCGUGAAGAGGGAAACAACCCAGACCGCCAGCUAAGGUCCCAAAGUCAUGGUUAAGUGGGAAACGAUGUGGGAAGGCCCAGACAGCCAGGAUGUUGGCUUAGAAGCAGCCAUCAUUUAAAGAAAGCGUAAUAGCUCACUGGUCGAGUCGGCCUGCGCGGAAGAUGUAACGGGGCUAAACCAUGCACCGAAGCUGCGGCAGCGACACUAUGUGUUGUUGGGUAGGGGAGCGUUCUGUAAGCCGUUGAAGGUGGCCUGUGAGGGUUGCUGGAGGUAUCAGAAGUGCGAAUGCUGACAUAAGUAACGAUAAUGCGGGUGAAAAACCCGCACGCCGGAAGACCAAGGGUUCCUGUCCAACGUUAAUCGGGGCAGGGUGAGUCGACCCCUAAGGCGAGGCCGAAAGGCGUAGUCGAUGGGAAACAGGUUAAUAUUCCUGUACUCGGUGUUACUGCGAAGGGGGGACGGAGAAGGCUAUGUUGGCCGGGCGACGGUUGUCCCGGUUUAAGCAUGUAGGCGGAUGUUCCAGGUAAAUCCGGAACGUUACUAACGCUGAGGUGUGAUGACGAGGCACUACGGUGCUGAAGUGACAAAUGCCCUGCUUCCAGGAAAAGCCUCUAAGCAUCAGGUAACAUCAAAUCGUACCCCAAACCGACACAGGUGGUCAGGUAGAGAAUACCAAGGCGCUUGAGAGAACUCGGGUGAAGGAACUAGGCAAAAUGGUGCCGUAACUUCGGGAGAAGGCACGCUGAUAUGUAGGUGAAGUGGUUUACCCAUGGAGCUGAAAUCAGUCGAAGAUACCAGCUGGCUGCAACUGUUUAUUAAAAACACAGCACUGUGCAAACACGAAAGUGGACGUAUACGGUGUGACGCCUGCCCGGUGCCGGAAGGUUAAUUGAUGGGGUUAUCCGUAAGGAGAAGCUCUUGAUCGAAGCCCCGGUAAACGGCGGCCGUAACUAUAACGGUCCUAAGGUAGCGAAAUUCCUUGUCGGGUAAGUUCCGACCUGCACGAAUGGCGUAAUGAUGGCCAGGCUGUCUCCACCCGAGACUCAGUGAAAUUGAACUCGCUGUGAAGAUGCAGUGUACCCGCGGCAAGACGGAAAGACCCCGUGAACCUUUACUAUAGCUUGACACUGAACACUGGUCCUUGAUGUGUAGGAUAGGUGGGAGGCUUUGAAGUGUGGACGCCAGUCUGCAUGGAGCCAUCCUUGAAAUACCACCCUUUAAUGGCUGGUGUUCUAACGUGGGCCCGUUAUCCGGGUUGCGGACAGUGUCUGGUGGGUAGUUUGACUGGGGCGGUCUCCUCCUAAAGAGUAACGGAGGAGCACGAAGGUCAGCUAAUCCUGGUCGGACAUCAGGAGGUUAGUGCAAUGGCAUAAGCUGGCUUGACUGCGAGCGUGACGGCGCGAGCAGGUGCGAAAGCAGGUCAUAGUGAUCCGGUGGUUCUGAAUGGAAGGGCCAUCGCUCAACGGAUAAAAGGUACUCCGGGGAUAACAGGCUGAUACCGCCCAAGAGUUCAUAUCGACGGCGGUGUUUGGCACCUCGAUGUCGGCUCAUCACAUCCUGGGGCUGAAGUAGGUCCCAAGGGUAUGGCUGUUCGCCAUUUAAAGUGGUACGCGAGCUGGGUUUAGAACGUCGUGAGACAGUUCGGUCCCUAUCUGCCGUGGGCGCUGGAGAAUUGAGGGGGGCUGCUCCUAGUACGAGAGGACCGGAGUGGACGCAUCACUGGUGUUCGGGUUGUCAUGCCAAUGGCAUUGCCCGGUAGCUAAAUGCGGAAGAGAUAAGUGCUGAAAGCAUCUAAGCACGAAACUUGCCCCGAGAUGAGUUCUCCCUGACUCCUUGAGAGUCCUGAAGGAACGUUGAAGACGACGACGUUGAUAGGCCGGGUGUGUAAGCGCAGCGAUGCGUUGAGCUAACCGGUACUAAUGAACCGUGAGGCUUAACCUU